CCUACGGGAGGCUGCAGUAGGGAAUAUUGCUCAAUGGGGGAAACCCUGAAGCAGCAAAGUCGCGUGGAGGAUGAAGGUUCUCGGAUUGUAAACUCCUUUUGUUAGAGGAGAUAAUGACGGUAUCUAACGAAUAAGCACCGGCUAACUCCGUGCCAGCAGCGGCGGUAAUACGGAAGGUGCAACCGUUACUCGGAAUCACUGGGCGUAAAGAGCGCGUAGGCGGGUUAGCAAGUCAGAUGUUAAAUCCUAUGGCUUAACCAGAGAACUGCAUUUGAAACUGUUAUUCUAGAGUAUGGGAGAGGUAGAUGGAAUUCUUGGUGUAGGGGUAAAAUCCGUAGAGAUCAAGAGGAAUACUCAUUGCGAAGGCGAUCUGCUAGAGCAUAACUGACGCUGAGGCGCGAAAGCGUUGGGAGCAAACAGGAUUAGAUACCCCUGUAGUC
Molecule: ribosomal RNA, 440 nt
Filed under: uncultured bacterium
Lineage: Bacteria
Description: partial 16S ribosomal RNA
Rfam family: Bacterial small subunit ribosomal RNA
Source: RNAcentral